UGGUGGAGUGAUUUGUCUGGUUAAUUCCGUUAACGAACGAGACCUUAGCCUACUAACUAGUCGGGGCUCAAAUCCUAGAUUGACUUCCGACUUCUUAGAGGGACUUUGUACCAAAUACAAGGAAGUUUGUAGGCAAUAACA
This 141-nucleotide ribosomal RNA is filed under the name uncultured eukaryote. RNAcentral's name for it is "partial 18S ribosomal RNA". It matches the Rfam family "Eukaryotic small subunit ribosomal RNA", at positions 1299 to 1458 of the family's 1831-position model. The record is from RNAcentral.